This is an RNA transcript of Medicago truncatula (barrel medic), 2507 nucleotides long. It is a transcript of the gene named diacylglycerol O-acyltransferase 1A, with no coding region annotated. The transcript has 16 exons. NCBI's taxonomy places the organism in Eukaryota, Viridiplantae, Streptophyta, Magnoliopsida, Fabales, Fabaceae. The record is from RefSeq and is a predicted model, not a curated record.
AAUCUCUACGGUGGUCACACAUUAGAAUUUUUGAAUAAAAUAAGUAGAAGAUGAACCGACAUUAGUCAGGGCAUAACAGAAAACGUGGCUAUGAAGCAGCAAAAUAACUGGGUUAAGAUUGACGUGUCUCCUUCAAGUUUAAGUAAAGUUUUGUGGUGGUGCGUGCGGGUUCACCUUUCUUUGCUUUGCUGCAUGCAUUUACCUACCUACCUUCUUCGCUUCGCAUGUGCUCAACCUCAAGCGAUUACCAUUUAAGCAUUUUCCUCUAUCUCCCUAAAAUAUUCCCCACCACCUUUUACUAUUCGAAUUCGAAUCAAAUAUAAUCAGAUUCUAUUCUUCCCUCCCUGCAUUUGCGAAUCAACACUUUCCCCUGUCUCAACUCUCUAUUAAUAAAUAAUAAAUAAUAUAAAAUAUUAUUAUUUAUUUCUUCGGUAAAUCUAGAUAGAUAUCUAAAUAUAACAGAUCGUUUGAGGAGGAGUAGACCCAAGUAAAGUAAACUUUGCUUUUAUUCUCCGAUGGCGAUUUCCGACGACCCUCACGGCGCCGUCCGGAACCCAAAGGUUCUCAACGACUCCUCUGUUUUACGUCGCAGGCCGAGCGCAGCCUCCGUCAGCGGCUUCUUCGAAUCGUCUGCCACGGUGGAAAGCGAGAGUUCCGGUGAAGAGUCGGUGAAGGAUUCUAGUUCCGAUGACUCUAUCAGCAGUGACCAAAACAUCGCUGCUGCCAAUUCUGAUCAAAAUCGAGGGCCUGAUAUUUCUUCGAUCAAAUUCACUUACCGGCCUUCUGUUCCCGCUCAUCGUAGAAUCAAGGAAAGUCCACUCAGCUCCGAUAACAUUUUCCGUCAGUUGCAGAGUCAUGCUGGCCUCUUCAACCUCUGUAUAGUAGUCCUUGUUGCAGUGAACAGCAGACUUAUCAUUGAGAAUUUAAUGAAGUACGGUUGGUUGAUUAAGACUGGCUUUUGGUUUAGUUCAAAAUCAUUGAGAGAUUGGCCCCUCUUCAUGUGUUGUCUUAGUCUUGCAAUAUUUCCUUUGGCGGCCUUUAUAGUGGAAAAGUUGGCACAACGAAAGUGUAUUUAUGAACAUAUUGUUGUUCUACUUCAUAUAAUCAUUGCAACAACUGCAGUUCUCUAUCCUAUUUUAGUAAUCCUCAGGUGUGAUUCUGCUUUUGUGUCAGGCGUCACAUUGAUGCUACUUGCUUGCAUUGUAUGGUUAAAACUGGUUUCUUAUGCACAUACGAACUAUGAUUUGAGAGCACUUACAAAUUCAAUUGAAAAGGGAGAAGCACUUCCCAAUACUCACAUGGAAUAUGCAUACGAAGUAAGCUUCAAAAGCCUGGCUUACUUUAUGGUUGCUCCUACAUUAUGUUACCAGCCAAGAUAUCCUCGCACCCCUUCCAUUCGAAAGGGUUGGGUGUUACGUCAAUUUGUCAAGCUGAUAAUAUUUACCGGAGUUAUGGGAUUUAUAAUAGAGCAAUAUAUUAAUCCUAUUGUAAAAAACUCCCAGCAUCCUUUUAAGGGUAACAUUCUAUAUGCCAUUGAAAGAGUUCUGAAGCUGUCUGUUCCAAAUCUAUAUGUGUGGCUCUGCAUGUUCUACUGCUUCUUCCACCUUUGGUUGAAUAUAUUGGCAGAGCUUCUUCGAUUUGGUGAUCGUGAAUUUUACAAGGAUUGGUGGAAUGCAAGAACUGUUGAAGAGUAUUGGAGGAUGUGGAAUAUGGUCUAUGAGGCUAUGUUACAGAGAGCAAAAGGAGUAGUCACAGGGCUUGUCUCCAUUGUUACAUCUGUGGUUUUUAUGAUUCUAAAUCACUGGUGUUCAAAUGGAUGUCUCCAUUGUUACAUCUGUUAAUAAAUGAUUCUAAGUCACUGGUGUACAUCUGAGCGGUUUCUUUCACGUUGCAGCCUGUUCACAAAUGGAUGAUUCGUCACCUAUACUUUCCAUGUUUGAGGACUGGUAUACCGAAGGGUGCUGCUGUUUUAAUUGCCUUCAUGGUUUCUGCUUUGUUCCAUGAGCUGUGCAUUGCGGUUCCUUGCCACAUAUUCAAGUUGUGGGCGUUUAGUGGAAUUAUGUUUCAGGUUCCUUUGGUCUUGAUAACUAAUUAUCUGCAAAAUAAAUUCAGCAACUCAAUGGUUGGAAAUAUGUUUUUUUGGUUCACAUUCUGUAUUCUUGGUCAACCUAUGUGUGUACUACUAUACUAUCACGACUUGAUGAACAGAAAUAGUAAACUUGAUUAAAGUAGCAUUACAUCAUUAGUAGUGCUAUUUAUCUAGAUUUAUAUACUUUGUUAACUCAACUCCUCUGGCAGUUCUAUCAAUAUGUAAAUUUUGAAUCAAUGCCUGGCAUUGAUAACUGCCAAAGAACAGUAGAACUAGUUUUUGGUAGAUGUUAUUAGAAGGAUAGAUCAUAAAUGUAAAUGGUUUGUGUACAAAAUAUUUAUUCCUUCCUAGUUUUGAAGCUCCCACGGAUGAUGUUUCUUAACAUGUGAAAUAUUCAAUGUGAUUUUUUUUCUUCUUC